AGAGUGAACGCUGGCGGCAGGCCUAAUACAUGCAAGUCGAACGGCAGCACAGCAGAGCUUGCUCUGUGGGUGGCGAGUGGCGGACGGGUGAGGAAUACAUGGGAAUCUGCCCAGUCGUGGGGGAUAACGUAGGGAAACUUACGCUAAUACCGCAUGCGCCCUUCGGGGGAAAGCCGGGGACCUUCGGGCCUGGCGCGAUUGGAUGAGCCCAUGUCGGAUUAGCUAGUUGGCGGGGUAAAGGCCCACCAAGGCGACGAUCCGUAGCUGGUCUGAGAGGAUGAUCAGCCACACUGGAACUGAGACACGGUCCAGACUCCUACGGGAGGCAGCAGUAGGGAAUAUUGGACAAUGGGCGCAAGCCUGAUCCAGCCAUGCCGCGUGUGUGAAGAAGGCCUUCGGUUGUAAAGCACUUUGUACCGGAAAGAAAAGCACGUGGUGAAUACCCUGGUGUCCUGACGGUACGGAAGAAUAAGCACCGCUAACGUCGCG
RNAcentral lists this ribosomal RNA (489 nucleotides) under uncultured soil bacterium. Its description in RNAcentral is "bacterial SSU rRNA". It matches the Rfam family "Bacterial small subunit ribosomal RNA", at positions 26 to 507 of the family's 1533-position model. The record is from RNAcentral.